Molecule: ribosomal RNA, 374 nt
Filed under: uncultured bacterium
Lineage: Bacteria
Description: bacterial SSU rRNA
Rfam family: Bacterial small subunit ribosomal RNA
Source: RNAcentral
UAAUACGAAGGGGGCUAGCGUUGCUCGGAAUUACUGGGCGUAAAGGGCGCGUAGGCGGACAGUUAAGUCGGGGGUGAAAGCCCGGGGCUCAACCUCGGAAUUGCCUUCGAUACUGGCUGUCUUGAGUACGGGAGAGGUGUGUGGAACUCCGAGUGUAGAGGUGAAAUUCGUAGAUAUUCGGAAGAACACCAGUGGCGAAGGCGACACACUGGCCCGUUACUGACGCUGAAGCGCGAAAGCGUGGGGAGCAAACAGGAUUAGAUACCCUGGUAGUCCACGCUGUAAACGAUGAGUGCUAGUUGUCGGCCGGCAUGCCGGUCGGUGACGCAGCUAACGCAUUAAGCACUCCGCCUGGGGAGUACGGUCGCAAGAUU